Molecule: long non-coding RNA, 1175 nt
Organism: Ochotona princeps (American pika)
Lineage: Eukaryota; Metazoa; Chordata; Mammalia; Lagomorpha; Ochotonidae
Exons: 3
Source: RefSeq, a predicted model, not a curated record
UGUUGAAGUCUCUUUAAAGCUUACCAGUUGGAAGCACAGUCCACAUCAACCAUGAGAGAGGUGUGAAUUCAAUUGCUUGAGCCAUCACUACUGCCUGCCCAUUUCUGCAUCAGCUGGAAGUCAAAGCUGGAGCCACAAUUGCAAAGUAAAUUAAAUUUUAGUGAUUCAGGAUUUAAGUUGACUUUCAAAUUGAAGAACCUUCGAGGAAAGAGAGAAGCCAGAAACACCCAAGAUGUUGUUUGCUACACUGAACAUGCACACCCGCUCCCCAGAAAAAUCACGUUGUAAGAAGUUACAAAAAAAGCAAGCAAGACACAGAGAGAUUUCUCAUUCUCUCGUUCAUUCCUAAAACACUGUUGACAGGUAAGUAGGGUCAGGCUGAAGACAGAAGCUACAAACUCAAUCCAAGCCUCCCAUGUGAGUGACACGGACCCAGCUAUUUGAGCAUCAUAUGCUGCUUCCUGGGUGCACAUGAAGCAGGAAGUUAUCAUCAAGACUUAUCCAAGGUUCAAGCCCAGGCACUCUGAUACGGGACACCAGCAUCCUAAGAAGUGUCUUAACCACCAUGCCAAUAGCCACCCAGGGAGCUUCUUUUAACUUGUGUUCUUGAGCAAAUCAAAUUUUCUGAGCCUGAGAUCAAAGAAUCUACCUGCUAAUGCCCUUGAGACAUUCAGUGAGAUAAUUCAUGGACCAUGCAUGACACAAUUCCUAGAUCUAGUGUUUAAGAAGCAUUGUUAUUAGCUUUUCUUCAUGAUUAACAAUGAACAUGACUGCAUGGACAUAUUUAUAAACUUCAAAUAUGCCAAAAUUUCAUAGGGCAACAGCUAGUCUAUCCUGGCAGACAGAGAAGAGUGCAGAACAGGAGCUGGCAAACCAUGGCCUGCUCCCACUUUGUGCUGUUGGAACGCAGCAGUGCAUUCAUUUACCAAUUUUCUAAAGCUUCCUUUGUGUUAGAAGAAAGGAAUUGAGUAGUUGCAUCAGACUGCAUGGCAAGCAAAACCUAACCUAUUGAUUAUGUAGCUCUCCACUAACACAUGUCACCAUCCUCUUGUCCAGACCAUAAAGACAAUGCAAGGAACCAGCAAAGAAUAUAUGGAAAUUAAAAUAAAUGCAAUGCUCAGAGCAAUGCUGAAGAAAGAAGAAACUGAGAAAUUUUACUGCCCUGACGCAUUUAU